RNAcentral lists this ribosomal RNA (301 nucleotides) under uncultured bacterium. Its description in RNAcentral is "partial 16S ribosomal RNA". It matches the Rfam family "Bacterial small subunit ribosomal RNA", at positions 509 to 807 of the family's 1533-position model. The record is from RNAcentral.
CAGUAGCCGCGGGAAUACGUAGGGUGCAAGCGUUGUCCGGAAUUAUUGGGCGUAAAGAGCUCGUAGGCGGUUUGUCGCGUCUGCUGUGAAAUCCCGAGGCUCAACCUCGGGCUUGCAGUGGGUACGGGCAGACUAGAGUGCGGUAGGGGAGAUUGGAAUUCCUGGUGUAGCGGUGGAAUGCGCAGAUAUCAGGAGGAACACCGAUGGCGAAGGCAGAUCUCUGGGCCGUAACUGACGCUGAGGAGCGAAAGCGUGGGGAGCGAACAGGAUUAGAUACCCGCGUAGUCCCUGUCUCUUAUAC